AAGUCGAACGCGUCUCCGUUAAUGAUUUUAGGUGCUUGCACUUGAAAGAUUUAACAUUGAGACGAGUGGCGAACUGGUGAGUAACACGUGGGUAACCUGCCCUUGAAGUAGGGGAUAACACUUGGAAACAGGUGCUAAUACCGUAUAACAACCAAAACCACCUGGUUUUGGUUUAAAAGACGGCUUCGGCUGUCACUUUAGGAUGGACCCGCGGCGUAUUAGCUUGUUGGUAAGGUAACGGCCUACCAAGGCGAUGAUACGUAGCCGACCUGAGAGGGUAAUCGGCCACAUUGGGACUGAGACACGGCCCAAACUCCUACGGGAGGCAGCAGUAGGGAAUCUUCCACAAUGGACGAAAGUCUGAUGGAGCAACGCCGCGUGAGUGAUGAAGGGUUUCGGCUCGUAAAACUCUGUUGCUGGAGAAGAACAGGUGUCAGAGUAACUGUUGACAUCUUGACGGUAUCCAACCAGGAAGCCACGGCUAACUACGUGCCAGCAGCCGCGGUAAUACGUAGGUGGCAAGCGUUGUCCGGAUUUAUUGGGCGUAAAGCGAGCGCAGGCGGUUUUUUAGGUCUGAUGUGAAAGCCUUCGGCUUAACCGGAGAAGUGCAUCGGAAACCGGGAGACUUGAGUGCAGAAGAGGACAGUGGAACUCCAUGUGUAGCGGUGAAAUGCGUAGAUAUAUGGAAGAACACCAGUGGCGAAGGCGGCUGUCUGGUCUGUAACUGACGCUGAGGCUCGAAAGCGUGGGUAGCGAACAGGAUUAGAUACCCUGGUAGUC
RNAcentral lists this ribosomal RNA (780 nucleotides) under uncultured bacterium. Its description in RNAcentral is "bacterial SSU rRNA". It matches the Rfam family "Bacterial small subunit ribosomal RNA", at positions 59 to 795 of the family's 1533-position model. The record is from RNAcentral.